This 254-nucleotide ribosomal RNA is filed under the name uncultured bacterium. Its description in RNAcentral is "partial 16S ribosomal RNA". It matches the Rfam family "Bacterial small subunit ribosomal RNA", at positions 524 to 776 of the family's 1533-position model. The record is from RNAcentral.
UACGGAGGGUGCAAGCGUUAUCCGGAUUUACUGGGUUAAAGGGUGCGCAGGCGGAUAUGUAAGUCAGUGGUGAAAUCUCUAGGCUUAACCUGGAAAUUGCCGUUGAUACUAUAUAUCUUGAAUGCUGUGGAGGUAAGCGGAAUAUGUCAUGUAGCGGUGAAAUGCUUAGAUAUGACAUAGAACACCUAAUUGCGAAGGCAGCUUACUACGCAGAUAUUGACGCUCAUGCACGAAAGCGUGGGGGAUCAAACAGG